RNAcentral lists this ribosomal RNA (793 nucleotides) under Bacillus sp. NAMR4.10. RNAcentral's name for it is "bacterial SSU rRNA". It matches the Rfam family "Bacterial small subunit ribosomal RNA", at positions 42 to 819 of the family's 1533-position model. Lineage: Bacteria; Bacillati; Bacillota; Bacilli; Caryophanales; Bacillaceae. The record is from RNAcentral.
GCGUGCUAUACAUGCAGUCGAGCGGACGGAUGGGAGCUUGCUCCCUGAAGUCAGCGGCGGACGGGUGAGUAACACGUGGGCAACCUGCCUGUAAGACUGGGAUAACUCCGGGAAACCGGGGCUAAUACCGGAUAACUCUUUUCCUCACAUGAGGAAAAGCUGAAAGAUGGUUUCGGCUAUCACUUACAGAUGGGCCCGCGGCGCAUUAGCUAGUUGGUGAGGUAACGGCUCACCAAGGCCACGAUGCGUAGCCGACCUGAGAGGGUGAUCGGCCACACUGGGACUGAGACACGGCCCAGACUCCUACGGGAGGCAGCAGUAGGGAAUCUUCCGCAAUGGACGAAAGUCUGACGGAGCAACGCCGCGUGAGUGAUGAAGGUUUUCGGAUCGUAAAACUCUGUUGUCAGGGAAGAACAAGUACCGGAGUAACUGCCGGUACCUUGACGGUACCUGACCAGAAAGCCACGGCUAACUACGUGCCAGCAGCCGCGGUAAUACGUAGGUGGCAAGCGUUGUCCGGAAUUAUUGGGCGUAAAGCGCGCGCAGGCGGUUCCUUAAGUCUGAUGUGAAAGCCCCCGGCUCAACCGGGGAGGGUCAUUGGAAACUGGGGAACUUGAGUGCAGAAGAGAAGAGUGGAAUUCCACGUGUAGCGGUGAAAUGCGUAGAGAUGUGGAGGAACACCAGUGGCGAAGGCGACUCUUUGGUCUGUAACUGACGCUGAGGCGCGAAAGCGUGGGGGAGCAAACAGGAUUAGAUACCCUGGUAGUCCACGCCGUAAAACGAUCAGUGCUAA